This 301-nucleotide ribosomal RNA is filed under the name uncultured bacterium. RNAcentral's name for it is "partial 16S ribosomal RNA". It matches the Rfam family "Bacterial small subunit ribosomal RNA", at positions 509 to 807 of the family's 1533-position model. The record is from RNAcentral.
CAGCCGCCGCGGGAAAACGUAGGUGGCAAGCGUUGUCCGGAAUUAUUGGGCGUAAAGGGCUCGCAGGCGGUUUCUUAAGUCUGAUGUGAAAGCCCCCGGCUCAACCGGGGAGGGUCAUUGGAAACUGGGAAACUUGAGUGCAGAAGAGGAGAGUGGAAUUCCACGUGUAGCGGUGAAAUGCGUAGAGAUGUGGAGGAACACCAGUGGCGAAGGCGACUCUCUGGUCUGUAACUGACGCUGAGGAGCGGAAGUGUGGGGAGCGAACAGGAUUAGAUACCCGCGUAGUCCCUGUCUCUUAUAC